Molecule: transfer RNA, 66 nt
Filed under: Pachydactylus kladaroderma
Lineage: Eukaryota; Metazoa; Chordata; Lepidosauria; Squamata; Gekkonidae
Description: tRNA-Trp
Source: RNAcentral
AAACUUAGGUUAACACAAAACCAAAGACCUUCAAAGUCUUAAACAGGGUGUAAACCCUAGCUUCUG